AGUGAACGCUGGCGGUAGGCCUAACACAUGCAAGUCGAACGGCAGCACAGUAAGAGCUUGCCCUUACGGGUGGCGAGUGGCGGACGGGUGAGGAAUACAUCGCAAUCUACUUUUUCGUGGGGGAUAACGUAGGGAAACUUCCGCUAAUACCGCAUACGACCUACGGGUUAAAGCAGUGGAUCUUCGGGCCUUUCGCGAUUGAAUGAGCCGAUGUCGCAUUAGCUAGUUGGCGGGGUAAAGGCCCACCAAGGCGACGAUCCGUAGCUGGUCUGAGAGGAUGAUCAGCCACACUGGAACUGAGACACGGUCCAGACUCCUACGGGAGGCAGCAGUGGGGAAUCUUGGACAAUGGGCGCAAGCCUGAUCCAGCCAUACCGCGUGGGUGAAGAAGGCCUUCGGGUUGUAAAGCCCUUUUGUUGGGAAAGAAAAGCAGCAGGUUAAUACCCGGAUGUUCUGACGGUACCCAAAGAAUAAGCACCGGCUAACUUCGUG
RNAcentral lists this ribosomal RNA (492 nucleotides) under uncultured bacterium. RNAcentral describes it as "partial 16S ribosomal RNA". It matches the Rfam family "Bacterial small subunit ribosomal RNA", at positions 29 to 507 of the family's 1533-position model. The record is from RNAcentral.